This 459-nucleotide ribosomal RNA is filed under the name uncultured bacterium. Its description in RNAcentral is "bacterial SSU rRNA". It matches the Rfam family "Bacterial small subunit ribosomal RNA", at positions 917 to 1382 of the family's 1533-position model. The record is from RNAcentral.
GCACCCGCACAAGCGGUGGAGCAUGCCGUUUAAUUCGACGCUACGCGAAGAACCUUACCUAGACUUGACAUCCCCGGCAAAACUAUGGAAACAUAGUGGAGGUUAUCCGGGUGACAGGUGGUGCAUGGUUGUCGUCAGCUCGUGUCGUGAGAUGUUUGGUUAAGUCCAAUAACGAGCGCAACCCUCGUCUUUAGUUGCUAACAUUUAGUUGAGAACUCUAAAGAUACUGCCGGUGUAAACCGGAGGAAGGUGGGGAUGACGUCAAAUCAUCAUGCCCCUUACGUCUAGGGCUACAGGCGUGCUACAAUGGCCAGUACAACGAGUCGCAACAUAGUGAUAUGAAGCCAAUCUCUUAAAGCUGGUCCAAGUUCGGAUUGAAGUCUGCAACUCGACUUCAUGAAGCCGGAAUCGCUAGUAAUCCCAAAUCAGAAUGUUGGGGUGAAUACGUUCUCGGGUGUU